UACGUAGGGUGCGAGCGUUAAUCGGAAUUAUUGGGCGUAAAGAGCUCGUAGGCGGUCUGUCGCGUCGGUCGUGAAAACUUGGGGCUUAACCCUGAGCUUGCGGUCGAUACGGGCAUGACUGGAGUUCGGCAGGGGAGACUGGAAUUCCUGGUGUAGCGGUGAAAUGCGCAGAUAUCAGGAGGAACACCGGUGGCGAAGGCGGGUCUCUGGGCCGAUACUGACGCUGAGGAGCGAAAGCGUGGGGAGCGAACAGG
Molecule: ribosomal RNA, 254 nt
Filed under: uncultured bacterium
Lineage: Bacteria
Description: partial 16S ribosomal RNA
Rfam family: Bacterial small subunit ribosomal RNA
Source: RNAcentral